Molecule: ribosomal RNA, 547 nt
Filed under: Phomopsis sp. HL-02
Lineage: Eukaryota; Fungi; Ascomycota; Sordariomycetes; Diaporthales; Diaporthaceae
Description: eukaryotic LSU rRNA
Rfam family: 5.8S ribosomal RNA (bases 200-353)
Source: RNAcentral
CGUUGGUGAACCAGCGGAGGGAUCAUUGCUGGAACGCGCCCCAGGCGCACCCAGAAACCCUUUGUGAACUUAUACCUUACUGUUGCCUCGGCGCUAGCUGGUCCUUCGGGGCCCCUCCCCGGAGGAGCAGGCACGCCGGCGGCCAAGUUAACUCUUGUUUUUACACUGAAACUCUGAGAAAAAAACAUAAAUGAAUCAAAACUUUCAACAACGGAUCUCUUGGUUCUGGCAUCGAUGAAGAACGCAGCGAAAUGCGAUAAGUAAUGUGAAUUGCAGAAUUCAGUGAAUCAUCGAAUCUUUGAACGCACAUUGCGCCCUCUGGUAUUCCGGAGGGCAUGCCUGUUCGAGCGUCAUUUCAACCCUCAAGCCUGGCUUGGUGAUGGGGCACUGCCUGUAAAAGGGCAGGCCCUGAAAUUCAGUGGCGAGCUCGCCAGGACCCCGAGCGCAGUAGUUAAACCCUCGCUCUGGAAGGCCCUGGCGGUGCCCUGCCGUUAAACCCCCAACUUCUGAAAAUUUGACCUCGGAUCAGGUAGGAAUACCCGCUGAA